RNAcentral lists this ribosomal RNA (112 nucleotides) under Cyclobacteriaceae bacterium. Lineage: Bacteria; Pseudomonadati; Bacteroidota; Cytophagia; Cytophagales; Cyclobacteriaceae. The record is from RNAcentral.
UAAGGUGACUAUUGCGGUGGGGACCACCUCUUCCCAUUCCGAACAGAGUCGUUAAGCCCACCCGCGCCAAUGGUACUAGGAUAACACCUGGGAGAGUAGGUCGUCGCCUGAC